GAUGGACCCGUCCUCCGGUGCCUACUGAGCUGAUAUCAGUUCUGAUUUUACACACUGGCUCAGUUCAGCAGGAACAGGAGUCGAGCCCUA
MicroRNA precursor from Accipiter nisus (Eurasian sparrowhawk), 90 nucleotides. Ensembl annotates it as microRNA 24-1. The record is from Ensembl. Lineage: Eukaryota; Metazoa; Chordata; Aves; Accipitriformes; Accipitridae.